CUACGGGUUGCUGCAGUGGGGAAUAUUGCACAAUGGGCGCAAGCCUGAUGCAGCGACGCCGCGUGAGCGAAGAAGGUUCUCGGAUCGUAAAGCUCUGUCCUUUGGGAAGAAAAAAUGACGGUACCAAAGGAGGAAGCCCCGGCUAACUACGUGCCAGCAGCCGCGGUAAUACGUAGGGGGCGAGCGUUGUCCGGAAUCACUGGGCGUAAAGGGUGAGUAGGCGGUAACGUGUGUCAGAUGUGAAAGGCGAGGGCUCAACCCUCGUAAGCAUUUGAAACUGCGUAACUUGAGUGCAGGAGAGGUAAGCGGAAUUCCUAGUGUAGCGGUGAAAUGCGUAGAUAUUAGGAGGAACACCAGUGGCGAAGGCGGCUUACUGGACUGUAACUGACGCUGAGACACGAAAGCGUGGGGAGCGAACAGGAUUAGAUACCCCCGUAGUC
This 440-nucleotide ribosomal RNA is filed under the name uncultured bacterium. RNAcentral describes it as "partial 16S ribosomal RNA". It matches the Rfam family "Bacterial small subunit ribosomal RNA", at positions 339 to 795 of the family's 1533-position model. The record is from RNAcentral.